AAAUUGCUGCCACCGGGUAGUCGUGCGUAAGAGCACUUGUUCGCAUCGUUAGGUCUUAGAAGAUGCGCGCAGGCGCUCAUUUUUUUG
This 87-nucleotide non-coding RNA is filed under the name unclassified sequences. The record is from RNAcentral.